UUGACGUUGAAUCAAGGGUUUGUUUUAUUUGAUUAUAAAAUUUGGCUUAUGCAACAUGAAUGCAAAGUAACCAACAAGAAAUUAAAGGGUCUCAUUGUAAGGUGUCCCAAGAGAAAGUAUUUUGUGUGCAAAAGUGACCUAAGCUAAACAAACGAAAAUGGUCUUACAAACAUGUCCUCCUAAGGUGGUGCCAUGAUGCCAUUCUUACAACAUGCAUGUAAGUUACGAAUAAAAUCUAACAUUUACA
RNAcentral lists this long non-coding RNA (247 nucleotides) under Lathyrus oleraceus (garden pea). RNAcentral's name for it is "Pisum sativum (pea) long non-coding RNA (PSAT_LNC025868)". Lineage: Eukaryota; Viridiplantae; Streptophyta; Magnoliopsida; Fabales; Fabaceae. The record is from RNAcentral.